UAAAAUAAAAACAAGUUCACAGGCAAUUAAAAUGAUAAAUGCAUAAGAAUUCUCAAAAGCUGUCACAAUUUUUAGAUUCGAGCUCUAAGGAAAUGCCACGUCAAGAAGCCUUUUCGGACACAAAACACUUUUAUUAUCACCGGACUAUUUAAAAGAAAACAAUUCAAAAAGCGCCGUCAUGUAAAUCUCUCACUCGCAAGUCAAUGCCCAAUUGAUUGCCUCUAAUUGGCAAGAUAAGAAAAAACUAGUUUUGGCUGAGGCAGAUAAAUAAACAAGCGAAACACACAGAGACACCAAUUCGGCUCAAUUGGCCUAUGUGCAAAUGUGGAAAAAGAGUAUUUAACAACAUUACCAACAACUCUUUCAGUUGAGCACUUUACUGUAAACACACACAAAUAAAAUGGGCCAAGUGAAAGAUGUUUAGAAAUUACUCACUGAUGACGCUGGCAUGAGCACGCAGCCUUAAAAACAUGUGUAAAUUAAACACUUAGCGAA
Molecule: long non-coding RNA, 495 nt
Organism: Drosophila arizonae
Lineage: Eukaryota; Metazoa; Arthropoda; Insecta; Diptera; Drosophilidae
Source: RefSeq, a predicted model, not a curated record